Molecule: ribosomal RNA, 492 nt
Filed under: uncultured bacterium
Lineage: Bacteria
Description: partial 16S ribosomal RNA
Rfam family: Bacterial small subunit ribosomal RNA
Source: RNAcentral
AUUGAACGCUGGCGGCAUGCUUUACACAUGCAAGUCGAACGGUAACAGGCCUUCGGGUGCUGACGAGUGGCGCACGGGUGAGUAAUGCAUCGGAACGUGCCCAGAGGUGGGGGAUAACGCAGCGAAAGCUGUGCUAAUACCGCAUGUGAUCUGAGGAUGAAAGCGGGGGACCAGGCAGCAAUGUUUGGCCUCGCGCCUUUGGAGCGGCCGAUGUCAGAUUAGGUAGUUGGUGGGGUAAAGGCCUACCAAGCCGACGAUCUGUAGCUGGUCUGAGAGGACGACCAGCCACACUGGGACUGAGACACGGCCCAGACUCCUACGGGAGGCAGCAGUGGGGAAUGUUGGACAAUGGGCGCAAGCCUGAUCCAGCAAUGCCGCGUGCGGGAAGAAGGCCUUCGGGUUGUAAACCGCUUUUGUACGGAACGAAAAGGCUCUGGCUAAUACCUGGGGCUGAUGACGGUACCGUAAGAAUAAGCACCGGCUAACUACGUG